Molecule: long non-coding RNA, 2774 nt
Filed under: Orbicella faveolata
Lineage: Eukaryota; Metazoa; Cnidaria; Anthozoa; Scleractinia; Merulinidae
Description: uncharacterized LOC110045026
Source: RNAcentral
UCAUCCCAUCCAGGGAGAGUAGAAAUACUCCUAGCUACUUCAUGAUACAGAAACGGAGAUACGCUCCAAUGCUGUGGAACACUUAAACCAAGAGCAGACUCAUUUAUCUUUGUGCAUGAACGUUACUUAUCAACCCUACACAGUCUGCCCAGACUAGUUCAUGAUGUUAUAGGUACACACUUUACAAUUACAAGGCAAAGCAAAGUCAACUCAGUUUGAUGAGCUGUUUUAGAAAAACAAGUAAAUAUCUCAGGGCGCUGGAGAAUAUCGAUGUUUAGAUAACCUAAUUUACAUAAAAUGGUCGAAAUGCUUGAAAACACACAAUUAGACUAACGUAUGCGUGGUCAUUUGAGUUGACAAGGUGUCUUUAAUUAUUAAUAUUAUUCCUCAGCAGAACCCAUGCCUGAAGGACAUUCUACAGGUUACCCACCUACUGGUAGCAUUGGUGCUCGUAAAGGAAAACAUCCCAAAGAUGACUCUAAGAAGUUGUCCACUGCUGCCAUCAUUGGUAUCUGCGCAGCUUCUGUGUUUGCCAUCCUGAUCGUGCUGGCUGCUGGAGUGUACUGGAAGAAAUAUCAUCACCGCUCUCGCCUGCGAGCUGCUUACUACAACGACAUAUCAAUGCAUGAUCCCUUGUACGAGGACUUCGGUCCGGAGGUUGCAUAAGCUAGGCAUAGCCCUGAUUUGCACAUCCGCCAUGGCGGAAUUGUAUUGAGAAUGAAUAGUUUUAAAGGAGCUAUGUCUUGAACAGCGAAUCUUGGAAAAAAUUGGCCAACUUUUUCAACUUGCCUUAGUUUCGUUAAUUGUAACGAUUCUUGUUCAUUUUCGGUUUAAUACUUUUCUUUUGUGUUUUUCUACUUUGAAAAGGUGUUAUUUGGAGAUUUGUGUCAAUUUGAAAGUAAUUUUGUACAACAGGAAAAAAAUGACUUGAGGUCUUGCGGCAUAGCUCCUUUAAUGGUAAUCUUUUUUUUUGUUGUUUUUUGUUGUUGUUGUUGUUGUUGUUUAUUUGUUUGUUUUGGGUUCUUUAGGUGCAAUCAGCUUUUAAUAUCACAACAAUUGCUUAUGACGGGUCGUUACUUUAUGAAAGACGCAAUCCUUUGAAAAAUGAGUACAUUUAUUGUUUCAAAAGAUGAAAAAGACUGUUUGUACACAGUUUGUAGCUUUAAUGCUGUGUGUACGAAGCUAUUGUUUCAAACGCAAUAUAGUUAAGAGUCCUAACUGACAGGAGGCUAACCAGUUGCAUGCUGUGUACAUGGUAUGGCCAGUUACUUCAACUCGUCACUACCAAGGACAAAUCGAGUAAGCGGAAAGAUGGCGGGCUUGAACCCGAGAACUCCAGGUUCUAAAACCAGCGCCACAACCGUUUGGCCAAGCUGCUUACCUCCUGCUUUUUUUUCCAUAUUAGCAGAAUGAUGAUUUCCAUAAGUUACUUCACUUUGUUUUGUUUAGUCAAGAGUUGAAGUACGUGUGGAGGGGACAUAAUUUAGUGCACAAAAAAACCCUCCCUGGAAGGCCUUGAUUGAUCCUAACGGUUCAAUAUCAUUUUCUUAUAUUUUCCAUCCAAGAUUGGUAUUGGGUCGAGAUGAUUCCCCUGACACGGUCAAGGCCUUGAUUCUUAUAAGCUGUCGGAUGAAUUUGGUAUAAAAAUAAUUGAGAGAAGUUACAGAUUAAUCACUGGUGACAAGGGUUGAAAUUUUCAAGGUUCUUGGAUCGCAUUGCCGGCACAAUGUGACCAGGGCAAAUGUUUUCAACAUUCCUCGGUACAAGGUGACGAGAUACGUAUGAACAGAACGUAAACAAAGUGUUUCAAAAGAACAUCUUGACUUUAAAGUUGGUUAUACCAAGUAGAUCAUGUACUUUGGUACACGAUAAUUUAAGCAUUUCAGGGGAAAAAAACAUAUUGGUUUACUUCAAAGCUAGAUUGAACAAAGCAAAGCCCGAAGCCCUUCUUUUAUUCAUGUAAUUCGCUGAUUGCACAACGUAUUUAAUAUAAUACAAAUAAUAAGCUUAAUCUCUUUUUAGUAUCAGCUGUAUGGUCUAAAAUCAAUGUUUGGAGUACCGUAAGGCACACAGGCGCUACUAAUCGGAGGCUACUGUGAAAACAAAGUACGAAACUUUAGGCUUUUUAUGUACGUGUAUCAUGACCUUUCACAAGCUUAACCCCAAAAUCAAUGGUUGGAGUACCGUAAGGCACAUAGGCGCUAGUAAUCAGAGGCUACUGUGAAAACAAAGUAUGGAACUUUAGUCCUUUUAUGUACGUGUAUUCUGACCUUUCACAAGCUUAACCAUAUCGAUACCUUUAUUGCACUGUAGUCGCUGUAGGCUAAAGCAAAAUUCAUUUUUGUGAUUACAAUUUGUUCCUGUCAGGCGCUGGCGUGACGAGCCUGAGCUGUCACGCAAACGUCAAUUUAGAAGGAAGAAUUCCUUGUAUAAGUACAACCAACUUAAUAUAGCCCUUCAAAUAAAAGAACAAAUGUUUUCUGCUUUUCCACGGUUAUAUAAUGAUAAUCGGUGCUAUAGCAAAUCGAUUUUUUUUUAAUUUAGUUAGUAUGACUAUGGAAGUAUUUAGUUAUCCAAGUCUACCAUUUUACGUUUUUGUUGUAUGCUAUUUAUUGUACUUGUAACAAACUGUGAUAUGUACAUAGUUUAUUUAGGGCUUGGGAGGCGUGCUAAAAAUAUGGACGGUUGUACUCAAUUGAAUUUGUUAAUGUUUUUAAAGUUGCCUUUUUGGGAGUAAAUGAAUAAACGUAGUCACUGUGCACCGGUAAUGAAUA